Molecule: ribosomal RNA, 427 nt
Filed under: uncultured bacterium
Lineage: Bacteria
Description: bacterial SSU rRNA
Rfam family: Bacterial small subunit ribosomal RNA
Source: RNAcentral
UCGAGAAUUUUUCUCAAUGGGGGAAACCCUGAAGGAGCGACGCCGCGUGGAGGAUGAAGGUCUUCGGAUUGUAAACUCCUGUCAUUUGAGAACAAGUGUUUCCGAGUCACUAUCGGGGACUUGAUAGUAUCAGAAGAGGAAGAGGCGGCUAACUCUGUGCCAGCAGCCGCGGUAAUACAGAGGCCUCAAGCGUUGUUCGGAUUCAUUGGGCGUAAAGGGAGCGUAGGCGGUCGGGUAAGUCGGAUGUGAAAUCCUGGGGCUCAACCUCAGAACUGCAUUCGAUACUGCUUGGCUAGAGGACUGGAGAGGUGAGUGGAAUUCACGGUGUAGCAGUGAAAUGCGUAGAUAUCGUGAGGAAGACCAGCGGCGAAGGCGGCUCACUGGACAGUUUCUGACGCUGAUGCUCGAAGGCCAGGGGAGCAAACGG